UCGUGGCGGGUCUAGGGGUGAGCCGGACAAGCUAGUCCGUUGACCAGGAUUGACGCGGGCCGCAUAAUCCCUGUCCAUUCUUUACGCGGGCCGCGUGGGAACCAGUUUCAGCAACUAUAUAAGGAACGCAUCGGAUUUCAAUUCAGUUCGUUCAUUUCUCAAUUCUCAAAUCACAAUUUCUGUAGUAGGCUUAUUAUACUCGGGUAUUAUACCCCUAAUUAGCGAAGCUCUGCCUCGUUGUAAGUAUCAUAACCCCUGGAUACGUAUUAGAUACUCUGCCCGAUUGAUCUAGGGUUCCGUAACGGCUGUCGUGGUUCUGCCCGACGUAGUCGUUGGAAUGCCGUCUCGGGGAGGAUUAUAACCAGGAAGCCACAAAGGAAAUACCUAAAAUAGCAAUGUAACACAAUGUGAAAGCCAAUUAGAAUAGAGCCAGCUCGAGAGCACUGACGGCUUGGAAGAACGUGGCUAUAAAAGUUACCUAAAAGACGAUGUUUUAAAUUCAAUAAAAUAAGGGUUAUCCCUAUAAACAUGUUGUAAUAAAAAUCUUGGGUUUUACCCAUGUGAUUAUAAAAAUAAAAUAUGGUGGUUUUACUCUG
RNAcentral lists this long non-coding RNA (596 nucleotides) under Helianthus annuus (common sunflower). RNAcentral's name for it is "sRNA HanXRQr2_Chr10g0438111". The record is from RNAcentral. Lineage: Eukaryota; Viridiplantae; Streptophyta; Magnoliopsida; Asterales; Asteraceae.